This 555-nucleotide ribosomal RNA is filed under the name uncultured bacterium. RNAcentral's name for it is "partial 16S ribosomal RNA". It matches the Rfam family "Bacterial small subunit ribosomal RNA", at positions 358 to 900 of the family's 1533-position model. The record is from RNAcentral.
GGAAUCUUCCACAAUGGACGCAAGUCUGAUGGAGCAACGCCGCGUGAGUGAAGAAGGUUUUCGGAUCGUAAAGCUCUGUUGUUGGUGAAGAAGGAUAGAGGUAGUAACUGGCCUUUAUUUGACGGUAAUCAACCAGAAAGUCACGGCUAACUACGUGCCAGCAGCCGCGGUAAUACGUAGGUGGCAAGCGUUGUCCGGAUUUAUUGGGCGUAAAGCGAGCGCAGGCGGAAGAAUAAGUCUGAUGUGAAAGCCCUCGGCUUAACCGAGGAAUUGCAUCGGAAACUGUUUUUCUUGAGUGCAGAAGAGGAGAGUGGAACUCCAUGUGUAGCGGUGGAAUGCGUAGAUAUAUGGAAGAACACCAGUGGCGAAGGCGGCUCUCUGGUCUGCAACUGACGCUGAGGCUCGAAAAGCAUGGGUAGCGAACAGGAUUAGAUACCCUGGUAGUCCAUGCCGUAAACGAUGAGUGCUAAGUGUUGGGGAGGUUUUCCGCCUCUCAGUGCUGCAGCUAACGCAUUAAGCACUCCGCCUGGGGGAGUACGACCGCAAGGUUGAAAC